Molecule: ribosomal RNA, 344 nt
Filed under: uncultured fungus
Lineage: Eukaryota; Fungi
Description: eukaryotic LSU rRNA
Rfam family: 5.8S ribosomal RNA (bases 1-112)
Source: RNAcentral
AACGCAGCGAAGGGCGAUACGUAAUGUGAAUUGCAGAAUUCAGUGAAUCAUCGAAUCUUUGAACGCACCUUGCGCCCCUGGUAUUCCGAGGGGCACACCCGUUUGAGUGUCGUGAAAACCUCAACCUCCUUGGUUUCUUCUGGAGACCAAAGCAGGCUUGGACUUUGGAGGCCUUUGCUGGCACCUCUCGCCAGCUCCUCUUAAAUGAAUUAGCAGGGUCCUCUUUGCUGAUCCUCGACGUGUGAUAAGAUGUUUCCAUGUCUUGGUUUCUGGCUCUGUCACCUUUCGGACAACUUCAUAUCAAAUUUGACCUCAAAUCAGGUAGGACUACCCGCUGAACUUAA